ACGCACGCCGCCCUACCACAACGCGCGGGGCGACACGCCCGCACAGGAUUGACCCGGACGGAGAGAGAGGGACAGAAAAAAAAGGGCGCCGCACGCAGCACGCAGGCGCCAUGCCCCCUCAGUUGCGCUUCCCCACCGUCCUCCCCAACCUAUACCCCCACCUCCUCCUCCCCCGCUCCCUCCCCUCUCGCCGUCUCCGCCUGCCGCCGCCCCCGACCCCGCGCCACCCGCUCCGCCGCCUGCUCUUCCGAGGCAUGGCCUCCUCCGCCACCGGCGAGGCCGCGCCGGCCGCCGGGACAAGCGGCGCCGGAGAGGCCUCCGCCCGCCCGCGGCGCGCGCUUGAGGAGCUCGCGUGGGACGAGACCUUCGUCCGCGAGCUGCCCGGCGACCCGCGAUCCGACAACAUCCCCCGCCAGGUGCUGCACGCUUGUUACACCAAGGUGUCUCCGUCGGCGCCCGUGGAGAACCCUAAGCUCGUGGCGUGGUCCGAAUCCGUAGCUGACCUCCUCGAUCUGGAUCACAAAGAGUUUGAAAGGCCUGAUUUUCCUCGGUUCUUCUCAGGAGAAACUCCGUUGGUGGGAAGUGUGCCCUAUGCCCAGUGUUAUGGUGGACACCAGUUUGGUUCAUGGGCUGGUCAGUUGGGGGAUGGACGAGCAAUAACUCUCGGAGAGGUUCUCAAUUCUCGAGGUGAGAGGUGGGAGUUGCAGCUCAAGGGUGCUGGAAAGACUCCUUACAGCCGAUUUGCAGAUGGCCUCGCUGUCCUGCGCAGCAGCGUCCGUGAAUUCUUAUGCAGUGAAGCUAUGCAUGGUCUAGGCAUUCCUACAACUCGUGCUCUUUGUCUAGUUGAAACUGGCAAAUCUGUUGUGCGAGAUAUGUUCUAUGAUGGUAAUGCAAAAGAGGAGCCAGGUGCAAUUGUUUGCCGUGUAGCACCAUCGUUUUUACGUUUUGGUUCAUACCAGUUACAUGCUACAAGGGGCAAAGAAGACCUUGAAAUUGUUCGUCGUUUGGCAGACUACACAAUACGUCAUCACUACCCACAUCUUGAAAAUAUUAAAAAGAGUGAAGGUUUAUCUUUUGAGGCAGCUAUAGGAGACUCUCCAGCAAUAGAUCUUACUUCCAACAAAUAUGCUGCCUGGGCAGUUGAGGUUGCAGAGCGUACUGCUUACUUGAUAGCCAGGUGGCAAGGUGUUGGUUUCACCCAUGGUGUGCUUAACACUGAUAAUAUGAGUGUGUUGGGCCUAACUAUUGAUUAUGGACCCUUUGGUUUCUUAGAUGCUUUUGAUCCUAGCUUUACUCCGAAUACAACUGAUCUCCCAGGUAAGAGGUACUGUUUUGCAAAUCAACCUGAUGUUGGUUUGUGGAAUAUUGCCCAGUUCACUGGGCCAUUGUCGGCUGCGUAUCUUAUCAGCAAGGAUGAAGCAAAUUAUGUAAUGGAGAGGUAUGGGACAAAGUUCAUGGAUGAAUAUCAAUCUAUAAUGACAAAGAAACUUGGUCUGUCAAAAUAUAACAAGCAGCUUAUUAGCAAGCUGCUGAACAACUUGGCUGUUGAUAAAGUUGACUAUACAAAUUUUUUCCGUCUUCUUUCGAAUGUCAAAGCAGAUCGUGACAUCCCAGAAACUGAGCUACUUGUUCCAAUAAAAGCUGCACUCCUGGAUAUUGGGAAAGAAAGAAAGGAAGCAUGGAUUAGUUGGGUACAAACAUAUAUCGAGGAGCUGGUGGCUAGUGGUGUCUCCGAUGAAGAAAGGAAAGCCACAAUGAACCGUGUCAACCCAAAGUAUGUUCUUCGGAACUAUCUCUGCCAGACAGCGAUUGACGCAGCUGAUCUAGGUGAUUACGAGGAAGUUCGCCGGCUAUUGAAAGUUAUGGAACAUCCAUAUGAUGAGCAGCCGGGAAUGGAGAAAUACGCCCGCUUGCCACCGGCCUGGGCAUACAGGCCUGGGGUGUGCAUGCUAUCCUGCUCGUCAUGAGCCACAUCCAGCUAUGACCAAUAUACAGUGUUGUAUACUUUUUUGGUUGUAUAGGAGGUUUACCCUGUAAUAUGUAGUGUUCCGAGCGCCGCAUUGUUUUAUUACUGUGGCGCGAUGUCCGAAACUUAGUCAUGUUGUUUGUUGCCUUGACUUUGAGUAGCAGAAUGUUCAGCCGUUCAGGAGCAGUUGGGAAAUGAAGCGCUCCAUACCUAAAGUUUCUGAGACGGUAAUGUUAUCAGUGGAAAACCCUUGUGUUGGAUACUAUGGGCUGUUGAUCUGGGUGCAUCCGGAAACAUGGGAGGUUGUAUGUUGACGUUGUUUAUCGCUGUUACAAUGUGCGUAAUUCUACUGUUGAGCCGCUUUCUUGCAUGCUUUAAAGAGCCACGGAGGAUCGUACCGCAAACAGGUGGAUCUACACCGGAUGGUUAGCAUACAUGAAUAUCUGUAUUAGCCUCCUUUCUAGUCACUAUUGCAAUGGAAUGAUACGCCAUCCGAAACAGAUAAAUUGCAUCUGCGCUGAACAAUGGACAAACUCUUCUACAAGAUGAGACACUGCAUCACUAAUUAUUUGCUAAGUAUCUUUGUUUUCCGCCAGAGUAAUAGCCAACGUGUAGGCGACUAUCAGACAUGUAGCCAACAUGUGGGAGACAUAUGAUGUCCUUGUCCCAAUUUUUCUUAGUUUGCAAGUAACCAUGUUUGUCAUCAUUUACUUUAAGACCGCGUCAUUCUUGACAAGAAUCUAUAUCCAGUUAUGCAAGGUUGGAGAAAAUCAUUUAAUUUUAGACUCCAACAAAGAAUGCCAUCUGAUCUUGUAGUAAGCUUUUUGAAAAUCAGUUUUCUUAUUGGAUGA
RNAcentral lists this ribosomal RNA (2817 nucleotides) under Triticum aestivum (bread wheat). RNAcentral's name for it is "partial small subunit ribosomal RNA". The record is from RNAcentral. Lineage: Eukaryota; Viridiplantae; Streptophyta; Magnoliopsida; Poales; Poaceae.